Molecule: long non-coding RNA, 239 nt
Organism: Etheostoma cragini (Arkansas darter)
Lineage: Eukaryota; Metazoa; Chordata; Actinopteri; Perciformes; Percidae
Exons: 3
Source: RefSeq, a predicted model, not a curated record
CACAAUGAGAUUUUUGAUAACUAAUCAUCAGUAAUGUGGAAUGUUAAUGACUAAGUGGGAAAUGGCAAAUAAUGGAACAGUUGCACUAGUUAGGUAAGUUCAGAAAAUGACACCCCUUUACUGUAAUGCAGCCUUUAAAACCAGUGAAAAGACAACACUUAUGCCAUAAUACGAUCCAAAAAAUCUAAGACGAUUCAUGUCUUAUGUCACGAUAUCGAUAUAUUGCCCAGCCCUACACC